UACAGGGGGUGCAAACGUUGCUCGGAAUCAUUGGGCGUAAAGCGCACGUAGGCGGUUUGUUAUGUCGGAUGUGAAAGCCCUUGGCUCAACUGAGGAAGUGCAUCCGAAACUGGCAAGCUAGAGUACUAAAGAGGGUCGCGGAAUUCCCGGUGUAGAGGUGAAAUUCGUAGAUAUCGGGAGGAACACCGGUGGCGAAGGCGGCGACCUGGGUAGAUACUGACGCUGAGGCGCGAAAGCUAGGGGAGCAAACAGG
RNAcentral lists this ribosomal RNA (253 nucleotides) under uncultured bacterium. RNAcentral describes it as "partial 16S ribosomal RNA". It matches the Rfam family "Bacterial small subunit ribosomal RNA", at positions 524 to 776 of the family's 1533-position model. The record is from RNAcentral.